This 274-nucleotide ribosomal RNA is filed under the name uncultured bacterium. RNAcentral's name for it is "partial 16S ribosomal RNA". It matches the Rfam family "Bacterial small subunit ribosomal RNA", at positions 523 to 796 of the family's 1533-position model. The record is from RNAcentral.
AUACAGAGGGUGCAAGCGUUACUCGGAAUCACUGGGCGUAAAGCGCGCGCAGGCGGCCAUUUAAGUUGGAUGUGAAAGCCUACGGCUCAACCGUAGAACUGCAUCCAAAACUAUUUGGCUAGAGUGUGGGAGAGGAAGAUGGAAUUAGUUGUGUAGGGGUAAAACCCGUAGAGAUAACUAGGAAUACCAAAAGCGAAGGCAAUCUUCUGGAACACUACUGACGCUGAGGCGCGAAAGCGUGGGGAGCAAACGGGAUUAGAAACCCCAGUAGUCC